RNAcentral lists this ribosomal RNA (253 nucleotides) under uncultured bacterium. RNAcentral describes it as "partial 16S ribosomal RNA". It matches the Rfam family "Bacterial small subunit ribosomal RNA", at positions 524 to 776 of the family's 1533-position model. The record is from RNAcentral.
GACAGAGGUGGCAAGCGUUGUUCGGAUUCAUUGGGUGUAAAGGGCAGGUAGGUGGUCGGGUAAGUCUGAUGUGAAAUCCCAUGGCUCAACCGUGGAACUGCAUUGGAAACUGCCUGACUUGAGUACCGGAGAGGUGAAGGGAAUUCUCGGUGUAAGGGUGAAAUCUGUAGAUAUCGAGAGGAACACCAGUGGCGAAGGCGCUUCACUGGCCGGUAACUGACACUGAUCUGCGAAAGCAAGGGGAGCAAACAGG